This 498-nucleotide ribosomal RNA is filed under the name uncultured bacterium. RNAcentral describes it as "partial 16S ribosomal RNA". It matches the Rfam family "Bacterial small subunit ribosomal RNA", at positions 29 to 507 of the family's 1533-position model. The record is from RNAcentral.
ACGCACGCUGGCGGCGUGCUUAACACAUGCAAGUCGAACGGGCCCGCUCUCUUUUUUGGGGGUGGGUUGAGUGGCGAACGGGUGAGUAUCACGUGAGUAACCUGCCCCCUGCUCCUGGAUAACUGCUUGAAAGGGCGGCUAAUACGGGGUGUGCCGGCUGGUCCGCAUGGGCCUGGUCGGGAUAGUUUCAUCUUCGGGUGUUUCGGUGGGGGAUGGGCUCGCGGCCUAUCAGCUUGUUGGUGGGGUGAUGGCCCACCAAGGCGGUGACGGGUAGCCGGCCUGAGAGGGUGGGCGGCCACACUGGGACUGAGACACGGCCCAGACUCCUGCGGGAGGCAGCAGUGGGGGGUAUUGCACAAUGGGCGGAAGCCUGAUGCAGCGACGGCGCGUGAGGGAUGGAGGCCUUCGGGUUGUGAACCUCUUUCUCCGGUGGUGAAGGCCCUGUCCGUUGCGGCGGGGUUGACGGUAGCCGGGUAUGAAGCACCGGCUAACUACGUG